Molecule: ribosomal RNA, 253 nt
Filed under: uncultured bacterium
Lineage: Bacteria
Description: partial 16S ribosomal RNA
Rfam family: Bacterial small subunit ribosomal RNA
Source: RNAcentral
UACGUAGGGGGCUAGCGUUGUCCGGAAUCAUUGGGCGUAAAGCGCGCGUAGGCGGCUAUCUAAGUCGGAUGUGAAAGCCCCUGGCUUAACUGGGGAAGUGCACCCGAAACUGGGUAGCUAGAGUGCAAAAGAGGGUCGCGGAAUUCCCGGUGUAGAGGUGAAAUUCGUAGAUAUCGGGAGGAACACCGGUGGCGAAGGCGGCGACCUGGGUUGACACUGACGCUGAGGCGCGAAAGCGUGGGUAGCAAACAGG